RNAcentral lists this unclassified non-coding RNA (250 nucleotides) under Hevea brasiliensis (rubber tree). Lineage: Eukaryota; Viridiplantae; Streptophyta; Magnoliopsida; Malpighiales; Euphorbiaceae. The record is from RNAcentral.
AAAUCACCAUGAAUCAUUAAAGAGAAUUGAGACGUUAACAUCAGAAAGCAAUAAACCAGAAUGCUUAAAGUACCAAUGGCUCAAAACUGUGGCAUUUAGAAGUGAAUAUCAUUAGGGAAUUUAAACAUUUCAUAAAGUUACCAACAGCAAAUACAAUUUAUUUGCAAGUAUUACUGACCCCAUACUCAGUGAAGUUCCUGCCAGAACCUUCCAUCCUCGUCUUCCCUCACCUAAUCUUCAAAUAUCUUCA